CGAGGGGCAGCGGGGUAGUGCUUGCACUACUGCCGGCGACCGGCGCACGGGUGAGUAACACGUAUGGAACCUGCCCGCAGCAGGGGGAUAAGCGGAAGAAAUUCCGUCUAAUACCGCGUAACAACGUUGGGAGGCAUCUCCCGAUGUUUAAAGAUUUAUCGGCUGCGGAUGGCCAUGCGGCGCAUUAGCUAGUCGGCGGGGUAACGGCCCACCGAGGCGACGAUGCGUAGGGGUUCUGAGAGGAAGGUCCCCCACACUGGUACUGAGACACGGACCAGACUCCUACGGGAGGCAGCAGUGAGGAAUAUUGGUCAAUGGCCGAGAGGCUGAACCAGCCAAGUCGCGUGAGGGAAGACGGCCCUACGGGUUGUAAACCUCUUUUGUCGGGGAGCAAAGCGAACCACGUGUGGUUCAUUGAGAGUACCCGAAGAAAAAGCAUCGGCUAACUCCGUGCCAGCAGCCGCGGUAAUACGGAGGAUGCGAGCGUUAUCCGGAUUUAUUGGGUUUAAAGGGUGCGCAGGCGGAGGUGCAAGUCAGCGGUCAAAUUGCGGGGCUCAACCCCGUACUGCCGUUGAAACUGCAUCCCUUGAGUGCGCGAGAAGUAUGCGGAAUGCGUGGUGUAGCGGUGAAAUGCAUAGAUAUCACGAGAAACUCCCAUUGCGAAGGGCACCUAACCAGUGCGCAACUGAACCCUCAUGCACAAAAAACGUGGGGUAUCCCUUAAAGUANNUNCCNUNNUNNUCCNCNCANUNNACGACCCUCUUAUGGUGUUCGGCCAGAAUGAUGGCUGAGUGGUACAGCGAAAGCGUUAAGUGUUCCACCUGGGGAGUACGCCGGCAACGGUGAAACUCAAAGGAAUUGACGGGGGCCCGCACAAGCGGAGGAACAUGUGGUUUAAUUCGAUGAUACGCGAGGAACCUUACCCGGGCUCAAACGACACAGGAAUACUUUUGAAAGGAGGUAGCCCUACGGGGUCUGUGUCGAGGUGCUGCAUGGUUGUCGUCAGCUCGUGCCGUGAGGUGUCGGCUUAAGUGCCAUAACGAGCGCAACCCCUAUCGCCAGUUACCAUCAAGUAAAGUUGGGGACUCUGGCGAGACUGCCGGCGCAAGCUGAGAGGAAGGCGGGGAUGACGUCAAAUCAGCACGGCCCUUACGUCCGGGGCGACACACGUGUUACAAUGGCAGGUACAGAGAGAAGCCAGGUGGUGACACCGAGCGGAACUCGAAAGCCUGUCUCAGUUCGGAUCGGAGUCUGCAACCCGACUCCGUGAAGCUGGAUUCGCUAGUAAUCGCGCAUCAGCC
This 1301-nucleotide ribosomal RNA is filed under the name uncultured bacterium. RNAcentral's name for it is "bacterial SSU rRNA". It matches the Rfam family "Bacterial small subunit ribosomal RNA", at positions 63 to 1354 of the family's 1533-position model. The record is from RNAcentral.